UUGUCUCAAAGAUUAAGCCAUGCAUGUCUCAGUACAAGCCACAUUAAGGUGAAACCGCGAAAGGCUCAUUAAAUCAGUUAUGGUUCCUUAGAUCGUACCCACAUUUACUUGGAUAACUGUGGUAAUUCUAGAGCUAAUACAUGCAAACAGAGCUCCGACCGUUUACGGGAGGAGCGCUUUUAUUAGAUCAAAACCAAUCGGUGGUGGUUUCGGCUGCCAUCGUACACCUUGGUGACUCUGAAUAACUUUAAGCUGAUCGCACGGUCUUGCACCGGCGACGCAUCUUUCAAAUGUCUGCCUUAUCAACUGUCGAUGGUAGGUUCUGCGCCUACCAUGGUCGUAACGGGUAACGGGGAAUCAGGGUUCGAUUCCGGAGAGGGAGCCUGAGAAACGGCUACCACAUCCAAGGAAGGCAGCAGGCGCGCAAAUUACCCACUCCCGGCACGGGGAGGUAGUGACGAAAAAUAACGAUACGGGACUCAUCCGAGGCCUCGUAAUCGGAAUGAGUACACUCUAAACCCUUUAACGAGGAUCAAUUGGAGGGCAAGUCUGGUGCCAGCAGCCGCGGUAAUUCCAGCUCCAAUAGCGUAUAUUAAAGUUGUUGCGGUUAAAAAGCUCGUAGUCGAAUUUGUGUCCCGCGCCGCCGGUUCAUCGUCCGCGGUGUUAACUGGCGUGUCGCGAGACGUCCUGCCGGUGGGCUUAGCCCGCGAGGGCGGCCCAACUCAAUCCCGCCGCGGUGCUCUUCACUGAGUGUCGAGGUGGGCCGGCACGUUUACUUUGAACAAAUUAGAGUGCUUAAAGCAGGCUAGAAUUUCGCCUGAAUACUGUGUGCAUGGAAUAAUGGAAUAGGACCUCGGUUCUAUUUUGUUGGUUUUCGGAACCCCGAGGUAAUGAUUAAUAGGAACGGAUGGGGGCAUUCGUAUUGCGACGUUAGAGGUGAAAUUCUUGGAUACCGUCGCAAGACGAACAGAAGCGAAAGCAUUUGCCAAAAACGCUUUCAUUGAUCAAGAACGAAAGUUAGAGGUUCGAAGGCGAUCAGAUACCGCCCUAGUUCUAACCAUAAACGAUGCCAGCUAGCGAUCCGCCGACGUUCCUCCGAUGACUCGGCGGGCAGCUUCCGGGAAACCAAAGCUUUUGGGUUCCGGGGGAAGUAUGGUUGCAAAGCUGAAACUUAAAGGAAUUGACGGAAGGGCACCACCAGGAGUGGAGCCUGCGGCUUAAUUUGACUCAACACGGGAAACCUCACCAGGCCCGGACACCGGAAGGAUUGACAGAUUGAGAGCUUCUUUCUUGAUUCGGUGGGUGGUGGUGCAUGGCCGUUCUUAGUUGGUGGA
RNAcentral lists this ribosomal RNA (1334 nucleotides) under Xenoglena sp. G0111. RNAcentral's name for it is "SSU rRNA". It matches the Rfam family "Eukaryotic small subunit ribosomal RNA", at positions 32 to 1305 of the family's 1831-position model. Lineage: Eukaryota; Metazoa; Arthropoda; Insecta; Coleoptera; Trogossitidae. The record is from RNAcentral.